Molecule: long non-coding RNA, 474 nt
Filed under: Parus major (Great Tit)
Lineage: Eukaryota; Metazoa; Chordata; Aves; Passeriformes; Paridae
Description: lncRNA (ENSPMJG00000011286.1)
Source: RNAcentral
CAUUAGCUAAAAUCUUCCAAGAAAUCCCAGAUUCAGGCUUCACUGGUUUUCUCCUUUCCAAUCUGAAGCUGAGGCUUGCCUUCUGACCUCCAAAGAUGUUCAGUCAAGUACUGGGUUGAGACAGAAUACUGGCUCAUCACCAAAGUCUAACCUGGUUCUUCUAGUGAAGAAAUUGCCAAAAUUAGGAGUUGUGAAAUACUCUAAAAGACCUUGCCAAGAACAUGUAUUUUGUGUCCCUGCUGAUGUCCAGUGGCACCCCAGAUUGCUCAUUUCAUGCAGAGAGUGCUUGUCCCAUGGUGAGUAUCUUGUGGGGAACUUGAGUAUCUCCUUGUUAUAAAAUCUUCCUUUCUUCCUUUCCAUAGAGGGUAUACAAGGCCUUUUGGGUUUUUAUCAACAACUUAUUGGUACCACAGAACACUAAUAAUCUCAUUCAAAUACUUUGCAGAGAAGAAUUCUUCCUUUGAUAGAGCUCUU